CUAAAGAGUGUGUUAAAACUCACCUGCCGAAUACUAGGGCCCCGAAAAUGAAUGGCGCAUAUAGUACUACCGAUCUCAGACAUCAGUUCUAUUGAACUGAGAGUAGGGGGAUGUGGACAUUUUUGUGAAGGUGCAAUGUGAGUUGGACUGGAAGAAUGUCUAUUACAGAUCCUAAUUGAAGUAGCGAUUAUCCAGGCUUGUAUCCUGGGGGCUGAUGAGGAGUAGGGUUUCUGGACAACUUAAACAGAUCCAGAGUUAGUCGAUCCUAAUCUCAAUAAUGGGAGAAAGGGAGUACAGUUGAUAUUCUGUAACUGACAACAGUUCGCGGCAACGCAUACUAUUUUUCUCCGCCAAUCUUAUACCGUUGGUAGGGAUCUCUUUCCUACAUGACAGUACUAAUACCCAGGGAAACUGGUCAUCAGGCGAACUGCGGCGUUCUGCUGGCAAAACAUAGCUUCGGUUAUGUCAAUGGCUAUUGGAUUGGUCCAUGAAGCGAAAAAUAGUUUACUGUGUCACUCGUACCGAUAACCGCAUCAGGUCUUCUAGGUAAGUAGCCUAUGGCCAUUGAGGCAUGAUAGUUCAGGGAAUUCGGCCAAUUAGAGCUGUAACUUCGGGAUAAAGCUUGGCUCUGAUGAAAAUCAGAACCGAUUGUUACGCGGAGAGCCCAACUGUUUAAUAAAAACGUAGUGUCGCGCUGUGGUAGUAUAGCCAGUGAACGCGACAUGAAUCCUGCUCAGUGCUGUGUCUGUUAAUAUGGUUCAAGCCAACGAAGCACCGGUAAAUAGCUGGGGUAACUAUGACUCUUAUCAAAGUAGCGAAAUACCUCGUCACUUAAUUAGUGACCUGCAUGAACGGAGCUAUGAGGUUCUCACUGUCCCAAACUGUCUCUCAGCGAACCAACUGUAGUGGGAACGGUCACUAGAUAUCCAGCGGGGAAAGAAGACCCUGUAGAGCUUCACUUUGGUCUAGUCUUGUAUAGUUCCUGCGGGGGUGUAGACUAGGUGGGAGAGCAAUCGAUUCUGAAAACCACUACCCUGUUUGGGAUUAUGCUUACCUAUCACAAGGAAUAGGACUAGAUAGA
This is a non-coding RNA of Trichomonas vaginalis G3, 1081 nucleotides long. Lineage: Eukaryota; Parabasalia; Trichomonadida; Trichomonadidae. The record is from Rfam.